This is an RNA transcript of Phycodurus eques (leafy seadragon), 2293 nucleotides long. It is a transcript of the gene named chemokine-like protein TAFA-1, with no coding region annotated. The transcript is spliced from 6 exons. Lineage: Eukaryota; Metazoa; Chordata; Actinopteri; Syngnathiformes; Syngnathidae. The record is from RefSeq and is a predicted model, not a curated record.
GAUACAGACUCUCUACUUAGUGGCUCGGAGAGAGGACCGAGGCUCACAGCUUCUCAAUGAGGGGACGCGGCCACGAGGAGACAGAGCAGUCAUUCCUCGGGAGCCUUCCGCUGCAUGCGUGACAAAGUGUGUGAGGGUGUACAAAAGAAGCUCCCGGUCAUCGCAACAUAGGGCUUGGAGGAGAGGAGAGCAAGGCAACGGCUGAGGCAGAAGGAGAGGAAAAGAGAGCUCCACGUGUGAAGCUGAUACAGCAGUGACAUGAUGAGCCGCCGCUUGCGUCAAGCAGACCUGAGGCUGCGCUGGGCUCGGUGACUCUUUGUGUUUCCGAGGAAUUCAAAAGAAGACCAUCCAGGGACUAUCCAGAAAAUUAAAAAAAGAACCGCCUUUUGGCUAAUCUGGAAUUUCAGGCAGGCAUCCCAGGUUUCCACAGUAUGGGUGAAUAUAAAGAGGCGUGAGUCCGCUGGGGGAAGCAUCCAUUCGAACCGAGCCUUGGUCCUCCUCAACUUACUGCUCAGAAUGUCCUGGUUUUUGGCCAUGUGGGUCAACCUCAGCUUCUUGUUGUUGUGUCAGGCUACACUCUACCAGACCAUCCAGCAGCACCAUGUGGCCCGGCCUGGCCGCACUGACAUUCUCACCCUGGAGGGAGGUACGUGUGAGGUGAUUGCAGCCCACAGAUGCUGUAACAAGAAUCGCAUAGAGGAACGCUCUCAGACCGUCAAGUGCUCCUGUUUACCAGGCAAAGUGGCAGGGACAACGCGCAACAAACCCUCCUGUGUGGAUGCAUCCAUUGUAAUUGGGAAAUGGUGGUGUGAGAUGGAACCAUGUCUGGAGGGAGAAGAUUGCAAGACUCUGCCUGACAAUUCUGGAUGGAUGUGCUCCUCUGGGAAUAAAAUCAAGACCACAAGGAACACCCAGCCAUACUCCCCUUUUUAGCUUCUGGAAGCAAAAUGCAGAGGAAACGGCAACCGAAAUUGAGCUGCAUUCUUGCUUCUAUAAAGAUUCAUCCCAGGACCUAACAACGAGCUCCCAUCGCAGGACUUUGCGCCACCCUUUCUCUUCCUGACGAAUAGUGUAAACCUAUUACAUCCAAGGCUGGUGACUGGAUUACCUGGGACCACAGAAAGGAUAUCCACCUAGAUAAAACAGCUUUGCUCAUGUGGUGCCAAGGAUUUCAAACCGCGCUAAUCCCCUGUUUGAUCAAGGAGCCCCAUGUUGAUGAAUCUCCUCAUCCACACAGCUGUGGCCAGCUAGCCACCAACUCUCUCCCAGUUCUUUCUCACUCUGUGUGUCUCUCAAAAACUGAAGCAGCUCAGUCGGGGUCAUUAUGAGGUUGUUUGAACAUUAUAUGAAGACUUUCACCCCGCCUGUCUAAAAGGUAAAGACAUUGAGAAGCUCAUGCGGACUUGAGCAUGGAAAGAAGAGCACAAAGAUGGAAAAGUACCCUGAUUUCCCUUUUCUGUCUUGCGUGGAUAGCUGCUUUUGUGUUUAACUUGCUUACAAGAUGGCUUUGUCAGGACUACCUAGGAAUGAGAAAGAAUGAGCAGCCUAUAAGGAGUUCAUCAAGGUUUUCUUUUUUUAUGACUUGAAGGUCUGCCCUUAUGGUCUCACCUUUGUGGCCGAUAAUGAACAUUUGAUUUGACUUAUUGACCUUAAAGAAAUGUACAUUCUACAGCGCUAGUUUUAUUUGUAUGUAAGAACACAUGUGUGUGUGUAUAUACAUAAUUAUAUGAAUAAAAGACAUGUAAGACAGCAGAUCGAACAAACUGAAAGGUAUAUUGAAGACUCUAUUAGGAGUUUAACCCCACACAUUGUUUUUUUUCUCUUUGGAGUAAAAGUGGAAUUCAUACUUGUGGAGAGCCCUGCAUUGACGUGUACAGGAACGCUUCACUUGUAAUGGAAAAGGUACAAAGAUAACUGUAAAAAUAAGUAUCUGUCACUGGUCAUUUUGCAGUGUUGGUGGUCAAGCCAGAACAUGCUGGUAAAGAUGAGGAAAACACUGUAUAGGACUGCCUCACUAAUCAACAUUGUCUGAGGUUUCAACUCAGAUUGGCAACCAUUGCAAAAAAUAAAACAACAACUGCAGGUAAUUGGAUCAUUAAUGUGUCUCUUGCUGCUGAAAGUGGUCAUAAGUAAUCUGUGAACGUUUGCUGUGUAGAUGUAUUUUCACACACCAGACUGUGACAAUUCAGGUGAAAUAUUCCAAAACACAGAGAGCAGGUAUUGAUAACUACAGCGAGAAAUACUGUUAUCCCCUAGUAGAGAUACAAGUACAUUACAGGAGAGCCUCUUGAGA